CUGAAACAUGAGCUCCUCUGCUCUGAGCCUCUCCAUCAUUUCCUGCUCCCUCAGAGCUAGCUGUCUCACUCGUGC
Molecule: non-coding RNA, 75 nt
Organism: Ceratotherium simum simum (southern white rhinoceros)
Lineage: Eukaryota; Metazoa; Chordata; Mammalia; Perissodactyla; Rhinocerotidae
Source: RefSeq, a predicted model, not a curated record